Molecule: ribosomal RNA, 173 nt
Filed under: uncultured Actinomycetes bacterium
Lineage: Bacteria; Bacillati; Actinomycetota; Actinomycetes
Description: uncultured actinobacterium partial 16S ribosomal RNA
Rfam family: Bacterial small subunit ribosomal RNA
Source: RNAcentral
UACGGGAGGCAGCAGUGGGGAAUAUUGCACAAUGGGCGAAAGCCUGAUGCAGCAACGCCGCGUGAGGGAUGAAGGCCUUCGGGUUGUAAACCUCUUUUAGCAGGGAAGAAGCGAAAGUGACGGUACCUGCAGAAAAAGCACCGGCUAACUACGUGCCAGCAGCCGCGGUAAUA